Molecule: ribosomal RNA, 822 nt
Filed under: uncultured bacterium
Lineage: Bacteria
Description: bacterial SSU rRNA
Rfam family: Bacterial small subunit ribosomal RNA
Source: RNAcentral
AACGCUGGCGGCGUGCCUAAUACAUGCAAGUCGAACGCACUGACAGAGAAACUUGUUUCUCUUGACGUGAGUGGCGCACGGGUGAGUAACACGUGGGAAACCUACCCUUCAGCGGGGGAUAACCGUCGGAAACGAUGGCUAAUACCGCAUAGGUCUUUUAACCGCCUGGUUGAAAGAGGAAAGACGGCUUCGGCUGUCACUGAAGGAUGGUCCCGCGGUGCAUUAGCUAGUUGGUAAGGUAACGGCUUACCAAGGCGAUGAUGCAUAGCCGACCUGAGAGGGUGAUCGGCCACAUUGGGACUGAGACACGGCCCAAACUCCUACGGGAGGCAGCAGUAGGGAAUCUUCCGCAAUGGACGAAAGUCUGACGGAGCAACGCCGCGUGUGUGAAGAAGGUCUUCGGAUCGUAAAGCACUGUUAUUAGAGAAAAACAACCGGUAGAGUAACUGUUACCGGCUUGACGGUAUCUAAUCAGAAAGCCACGGCUAACUACGUGCCAGCAGCCGCGGUAAUACGUAGGUGGCAAGCGUUGUCCGGAUUUAUUGGGCGUAAAGGGAGCGCAGGCGGUGACUUAAGUCUGAUGUGAAAGCCCACGGCUCAACCGUGGAAGGUCAUUGGAAACUGGGUCACUUGAGUGCAGAAGAGGAAAGUGGAAUUCCAUGUGUAGCGGUGAAAUGCGUAGAUAUAUGGAGGAACACCAGUGGCGAAGGCGACUUUCUGGUCUGUAACUGACGCUGAGGCUCGAAAGCGUGGGGAGCAAACAGGAUUAGAUACCCUGUUAGUCCACGCCGUAACGAUGAGUGCUAAGUGUUGGAGGGUUUC